Non-coding RNA from Oryctolagus cuniculus (rabbit), 2809 nucleotides. The record is from RefSeq and is a predicted model, not a curated record. NCBI's taxonomy places the organism in Eukaryota, Metazoa, Chordata, Mammalia, Lagomorpha, Leporidae.
ACAUUAAUUGCUUCAAAUUGAUAUCUCUAGCCUCCUCCAAAAUGAUACAAGCCCUCCAGUACGCCUUCGUCACGUCCCCUCUUUCUGUUGGCCUUAUCUUAGUUUUAUUUCACUUUUAAAUUCCCACAGAAGUUUUAUUUUGUGGAUGCUUGUUUCAACUUACCCAUGUAUUGACCAAGUACUCUUUCUUGAUGCUCACUGCUUCCUUCUGAAUUUAAUUUCCUUCUUCCUGAAAUAUUUCCUUAUAUAGUUCUUUAGUGGAAUCAUCUACAUAGGUGGUGGUAAGUUCUUUUUUCAAAAUUAGUGAGUGAGUGUGUGUGUGUGUGUGUGUGGUGUUUAAUCAAAUGGCUCUUAGUAGUCCUGCUUCCAUGAGGGACUGAGACUAAGGGAGACGGGAAGACAGCCAGCUGGUGUCAGGAGGGGUCAUCCCCACAACAUGCCACUUAGACACAGAACUAAGCAUGCAAGCAGAGUCGCUACUACGGUUGGAAAGUGGCAUCAUGGGAAAGGAGAACAGAUGGAGGAGUUAGGGUGUCAUUAAAAAGAUACAGGUUCCCCACCCACCCACCCAAACUGGACAGAACUUGGUCUGCUUCAACUCAAGGGAACUCAGAAGGUCAAAAGUGGUUUGGAAAGGCCAGAACCAUCAGGGACGGAGGGAGGGGAGAUGGCCAAGGGGUGGAGGGGGCUGAAGGGAUUGUCCCAGCCCUACUGUGAUCUUCUAGCCCCACUGGUCUGGCAGGAAGGCAGGGGAGCCUCUAACACCAAAGGGCAGGCCUGGGGCUGCCAGGUGCUCCAGGCAGGGUGCUGCGGGGGCUCAAAGCUUUCCCUCCUGGGAGCUCACCCACAGGAUCCCCUGGGCCUUCCCCAGGGUGCUGCUCUUGAUCUCACUCAGGCACAGUGUUCUACACCUGUCACGGAACUUCUUGUAAUACCAUCAGGGGCAGCCCCAAGGCCAUAGCUGCAGAAGUGACGGCAUUUGGCAAGGAAGAGCCAGGAAGACGAGAGUUGCUGCAGCUGCUGCUGGGAUCUGACUGAGCCUCUACGUGCUGGGCCUGGGCCAGGGCUGAAGUCAGGAGCUGGGGACUCAGUCCAGGUCUCCGAGGUGGAUAGCAGGAACCUAAUUACCGAAGCCAUCAUCACUGCCUCCCAGGGUCUGCACUGGUGGGAAGCUGGAGUCAGGAGUCAGAGCUGAGAAUCAACCCCAGGAUCCCGUCCUGGACAUCACGUUACAAUGGCUACAUGAAAUGUAGAGACUUUCAGGCACCUGUUGGCUGUGAUAGUAUCUCAGACGUUUCCUGUUUUGUCGUCUUUGACAGUUGUGGGAGUAUUUUUUUUUAAAUAUUUGCUUAUUUUAUUUGAAAGUCACAGUUACAGAGAGGUAGACACACACACACACACACACAGCGAGGGUGGGGUGAGGGAAGAGAUCUUCUGUCCACUGAUUUAGUCCCCAGAUGGCCACAAAGGUCAGCACUGGGUCAGGCUGAAGCCAGGAACCAGGAGCUUCUUCUGGGUCUCCCAUGUGGGUGACAGGGCCUCAACCACUUGGGCCACCUGUGCAUCAGUAGAGAGCUGGGUGGGAAGUGGAGUAGCCAGGACUUGAACUGGGACUCAUAGGAUGCCAGCUUUGCAGGCAGAAGCUUAACCCACUGAAUCACAGUGUCAACCCCUGGCUUUGAUUUUGACCCUGCUCUUUAUGAAGCUAUGAAUUAAAAAACUGGAUUCCUAUAUUUGCCGAGGGGUUCCAGUUAGCUUAGCUCUGCCCCAUGGCUUCAGAGCUUCUAACCAGUCACGGUGGCUUAGAAAUGUGCCUACAGACCCUGUGACAGCCGGCUUUUCAAAGGGAACAGCCUAACUCCCCUUGCCUUUCAUGGACGAUUGACCUUCACACCUCACUUCUAUUGAACAGAAUCUGAUGGGAGUGACCACGUGUGACUUCCAAGACUGGGCUAUAGAGAGACACGUGGCUACUGUUUGCACUUUUGGACAAACACACUGGAAAAGACAGCACCAUGCUGUGAGAACACCAGAGGCCUGCCUGGCGAGCAGGCACCAGCACACCAGCUGUGUAAGUGAACCACCCUCAUGGAGAAUCCAUCUGGCCCCCACAAAGCCUUCAGCUGACUACAGCUCUGGCUGACCUCUGCCUGCAACCUCCUGAGAGAUCAGAGACUAAGCCUGAAUUCAACUCCUCCAAACUCAUCUUCUCUUCCCAAAACUCGAAUGUCAACACUUGCCUGUUUCUUGGUACAACAGUCAUGGUUCUAUUAAUCAGCCUGUCAACGCCUUCAUAUCCAGGGACCCUCAAGGACUCAAGCCUUGAGAAACCCACUGAAAGUUCCAAGUUGGCCAGCUCGGUUCAGAUUACAAAAUAUGAGGCACUGAAGCAUGUUCUUCAGCUCAUCUUAGAGGAGUGCAGAGAGCCAGGCACCCAGUGAGUCUCCCAAAGGGAAAAACAACUGUUGCCUCCUAGGGUGUGGUUAGCAGGAAGCUGGAGGCAGGAAUCAAAUCCAGGUAUUACGAGAGGGAAUGUGGUGUCUUCACAGCCAGGUUAAAUGCCUGCUUCUGGGAUAUGUUCUUUUGCUGUUGUUGCUAUUUUAACUUGGGAGGUGGGCCCAACAGUGCAGAAGAGCAGGUGUGCUGGUGUUACUAUAGGAAGUUCAAGGCUGAAUACAGAAAGUUUUCUGUAUGAUUGUGUGCCAGCAGCAAACCUUUCUCUUUUUAGUUGUUGGUCCAGGAAAAAAGCAAACAAGAAGUCUUAUUCAAUUACAGCUUUUUCCAAGACAUUUUCUACCCCCUGCUCAAA